UCCUCAUUGGUCUAGUGGGUAUGUUGGUCCGACAUUGACACCGAGUUUGACGAGCGCGGGAGACCUGGGUUCGAUUCCCAGAUGGGGAG
RNAcentral lists this transfer RNA (89 nucleotides) under Pseudocercospora fijiensis CIRAD86. Its description in RNAcentral is "tRNA-Val (GAC) (tRNA-Val-GAC-1-1)". It matches the Rfam family "tRNA". From Rfam's summary of the family: Transfer RNA (tRNA) molecules are approximately 80 nucleotides in length. Their secondary structure includes four short double-helical elements and three loops (D, anti-codon, and T loops). Lineage: Eukaryota; Fungi; Ascomycota; Dothideomycetes; Mycosphaerellales; Mycosphaerellaceae. The record is from RNAcentral.